This is a transfer RNA of Cavia porcellus (domestic guinea pig), 64 nucleotides long. It matches the Rfam family "tRNA". From Rfam's summary of the family: Transfer RNA (tRNA) molecules are approximately 80 nucleotides in length. The record is from Rfam. Lineage: Eukaryota; Metazoa; Chordata; Mammalia; Rodentia; Caviidae.
UGGGAUUUAGCUCAGUGGCAUAAGCACCUGCCUUGCAAGCAGGCAGUCAUUAGUUCAAUCCCUG